RNAcentral lists this small RNA (107 nucleotides) under Arabidopsis thaliana (thale cress). RNAcentral's name for it is "ATSL112010". The record is from RNAcentral. Lineage: Eukaryota; Viridiplantae; Streptophyta; Magnoliopsida; Brassicales; Brassicaceae.
AAAUUACUGAAAAUCUUUGUUCUAAAACAUGGCCAUGGAGACCGAGGUCUCUAGACGUCGGAAAGCAUGAGAUGGUUUGAAGCCGCCGCGAUGUAACAUAACUUAUU